RNAcentral lists this ribosomal RNA (1407 nucleotides) under uncultured bacterium. RNAcentral describes it as "bacterial SSU rRNA". It matches the Rfam family "Bacterial small subunit ribosomal RNA". The record is from RNAcentral.
AGAGUUUGAUCCUGGCUCAGGACGAACGCUGGCGGCGUGCCUAAUACAUGCAAGUAGAACGCUGAAGAGAGGAGCUUGCUCUUCUUGGAUGAGUUGCGAACGGGUGAGUAACGCGUAGGUAACCUGCCUUGUAGCGGGGGAUAACUAUUGGAAACGAUAGCUAAUACCGCAUAACAAUGGAUGACACAUGUCAUUUAUUUGAAAGGGGCAAUUGCUCCACUACAAGAUGGACCUGCGUUGUAUUAGCUAGUAGGUGAGGUAACGGCUCACCUAGGCGACGAUACAUAGCCGACCUGAGAGGGUGAUCGGCCACACUGGGACUGAGACACGGCCCAGACUCCUACGGGAGGCAGCAGUAGGGAAUCUUCGGCAAUGGGGGCAACCCUGACCGAGCAACGCCGCGUGAGUGAAGAAGGUUUUCGGAUCGUAAAGCUCUGUUGUAAGUCAAGAACGAGUGUGAGAGUGGAAAGUUCACACUGUGACGGUAGCUUACCAGAAAGGGACGGCUAACUACGUGCCAGCAGCCGCGGUAAUACGUAGGUCCCGAGCGUUGUCCGGAUUUAUUGGGCGUAAAGCGAGCGCAGGCGGUUUGAUAAGUCUGAAGUUAAAGGCUGUGGCUCAACCAUAGUUCGCUUUGGAAACUGUCAAACUUGAGUGCAGAAGGGGAGAGUGGAAUUCCAUGUGUAGCGGUGAAAUGCGUAGAUAUAUGGAGGAACACCGGUGGCGAAAGCGGCUCUCUGGUCUGUAACUGACGCUGAGGCUCGAAAGCGUGGGGAGCGAACAGGAUUAGAUACCCUGGUAGUCCACGCCGUAAACGAUGAGUGCUAGGUGUUGGAUCCUUUCCGGGAUUCAGUGCCGCAGCUAACGCAUUAAGCACUCCGCCUGGGGAGUACGACCGCAAGGUUGAAACUCAAAGGAAUUGACGGGGGCCCGCACAAGCGGUGGAGCAUGUGGUUUAAUUCGAAGCAACGCGAAGAACCUUACCAGGUCUUGACAUCCCGAUGCUAUUUCUAGAGAUAGAAAGUUACUUCGGUACAUCGGUGACAGGUGGUGCAUGGUUGUCGUCAGCUCGUGUCGUGAGAUGUUGGGUUAAGUCCCGCAACGAGCGCAACCCCUAUUGUUAGUUGCCAUCAUUCAGUUGGGCACUCUAGCGAGACUGCCGGUAAUAAACCGGAGGAAGGUGGGGAUGACGUCAAAUCAUCAUGCCCCUUAUGACCUGGGCUACACACGUGCUACAAUGGUUGGUACAACGAGUUGCGAGUCGGUGACGGCAAGCUAAUCUCUUAAAGCCAAUCUCAGUUCGGAUUGUAGGCUGCAACUCGCCUACAUGAAGUCGGAAUCGCUAGUAAUCGCGGAUCAGCACGCCGCGGUGAAUACGUUCCCGGGCCUUGUACACACCGCCCGUCA